RNAcentral lists this long non-coding RNA (3542 nucleotides) under Canis lupus familiaris (dog). Its description in RNAcentral is "lncRNA (ENSCAFG00040019578.1)". Lineage: Eukaryota; Metazoa; Chordata; Mammalia; Carnivora; Canidae. The record is from RNAcentral.
UUGCAGUGAUUGAGAGAGAUUCACAGCAACAAAGUGCAUCGUGCACCAUAGUUGGAUCCCACUUCUAAGCUUUAAUGAUAUAUCCAUAGAUCAGAAGCUGUACGAUAAAUCUCUAAGGAUGACUGUACUUUCGUCAGUCUUGGGGUUUUAGUUGUAAUGCAGUGAAGGCCAAGGCCAAGGCCAAGAAAACAUUGCUCGCAGUUUGAAACCAGUAGAAAUAAAUAGCCAAUGGUUAGGAUUUGCCAUUUGCAGGAAGAAUUCUCCUUAAGCAGUGAUGUGUAUAUCUGUUGUUAACGAGAUGGACAACCAAGUCCAAUCUUCAUGAUGGCAGCAUGUCAUACAGAGUAGAAUGAAACUAAAGGAAGGUACAACCAAAUCCAUUCACCCAUCACAGCACAGUUUGGAGGUCCUACCUACUCCCUUACUUCAGCUUUAUUUGUCUGGUUUAAUUUAUGUUUCCAGAAUCAGCUUAAAUGUAUUCUCCUUAGAAAGAUCUUCUUCUACUGCAUUGUCUCAGGUAAGUACCUUUAGCACUUUCUUUUAUCGAAUUCUGCUACUUCAAUAGAAUUUAUGAAAAUUCUCUUAGAGUUAUAAGCAAUAGAUAAAUAAUGAUUUAUUCCUACUGUACAGGAGCUUAAUGUUGAACUGAGGAAAUAGACUUAGAUGCACCAGAAUACAAUAUAGACAAUGAUAUAAUAGAAGUAUUUAUAGAGUUCCAUGACAAGACAAGGAGAAGAUAUAUUAAUUUAGCUUUUAAUGGGAUGGGAAGGAAAAGCCUUACAGUAUAACAGACAGUUUAGUUGCAGAGUGAGUGAGUACAUCUGAGAGAUAUGUUUUGAUAUUGGAAGGAAUUGUCAUUUGAAAAUUGUAAGGCUCUACUUCCCUCUUGAACAGAGACAUUGUUUUCCUUCAUCACAACAUAAAGGAUAUGUAAUUUUUCAAAAGGAUAGAUAGAGAAGAAAUGUACCUGAAGUGUUAUUAAGACCAUGAAGUGAUAUUAAACCCUAGGACAGUGGAAUUUAAAGAAAGAUCAUGGUAUGCUAUAGCCUCUGCCUGUAGGCCUGAAAAUUCCCAUUUGUGUCACAUAUCUAAAUAUUGUUCUCCAUUAGCAGUUCAACUCAUAUUAUAUCUCACUCAGAGCAAGCAAUCUGUUGUGGUUAGCCAUUCAGAAUACUCUUCUCUAGAGAAAAUUAAAAGCUGCUGAAGGAUACAAUUUACUACUAAAAUAACAAAAUUAAAAGAUUAAGUAGAGAUAAGUAACAUAGUUGCAUAUAAUUUUAGGCUUAUGUUCUUUUCCUCCUCAUUCCACAGUUAUUUCUAAACUUAUUUUGUUCCUAAAUAAAGUAUUAGCAAUAGUUCCUAUUCUACUAAAAGCCUUGUUGACAAUGUGAGUUUGGUUUAAAGGAAAAGUGCUUCAUUGUGACUAAAAUCCUGGAACUUCCCAAUCAUUGCCAUAACACUAGCUUUGAGGUCCAAAUCAUUUGUAGCUAAAGCCUCCCUGUAGUAACGUCCUUUGGUAUUUCAAAUAUAUAGACCUAAUUUGUAUCAUAGCACUGAUAGACAAUUUUUAAUGUUUAAAGUAGUAAGCAGUGAUAGACAAUUUUUAAUGUUUAGGUUAAAAAAAUGGUCUCAUAUAAACACUGAAGUUAAGCAUUAGAAACUGAUAGAUACCCAACUUUUGAUCAAAUACAAUAAUUUGGGAGACCUAAAUAAUGUAACAGCUAUAAUGUAAGCGCCUAUUUUUUUCACAUUGAUGACCUCAUAUUAUUAGCAAUUACGGUCAAUAAAAUAUGAUUAUGUGCCAGAAAACAUAGAAUGUCACCAGAUGCUAGUGGAAAUGGGAUAGUAAGGCUCUCAAAAAGUUCACCCCUCCAUAAAAGCAAAAAAUCUGGCAAAAUUUUCCAGAUUCCUUUCUUUUCUUUUCUUCUCAGAACUCUGGGAAUUAUAGCAACUGGGUGGGGGUGGGGGGGCAUUUAGUCAGGAUAAACUACUGAAUCUCAGUCAGAACAGCAAGCUCUCUGGUAUUUUAAUUUACCUUAGCCUCAUCUCCUUCUCUCUGAUUCAGUGAAAAGUAACAUCCCAUAUUCCUGGUACUUGAGAAAGAAUGGACCUCAUUCCUAAACCAUUGUUAUUAUUGGACCUGUCUGGUGUGGUUCCCUGGAAACCCUCACUCAAAAGACUUGUCUUAAUUCAAAUUCACUUGAUCUCACCCAGCUCGAAGUGCCUUGAAGGGAGGAGGCAUUUGUCUAAUGCUUUAACAUCAAAGCUCUCUGAGACAAUGGAUAAAAGUUGGGGCAAAUAAUAGAUUAGCCAAAAAGCUUGGAAUGAAAAGCUGCAGGAUGGGAUGCCCAUAGGGGAUUGAAAGACUCAACUUGUCUUUGGAAACCUAGAAAGCAGCCCUCUUGCACAGGUUGCAUGCUGUUGUAUGCAUGCUCAUGAAAGACAUAAAAGGGCCUAAGCUCUCACCCCUGACUGACCUUGAGGCUCAAAUAAAAGGAAACUAGACAGUAACAAAAGCCCACAUAAAGAAAUAAAAAGUACUGACAAAUAUAAGUAUAUAGGUAAGUAUAAAAAGCAGUAUAAAUAUAUUUCUGUUUAUAUCUCCUUUUUUCUUCCCUAACUGCCUUAAAUCGCCAUUGCAUAAUACAAUAAUUAUAAAUCUAAGUUACUGGGCACAAAACAUGUAAGGAUGUAGUUGUUAUAAUAAUAGCAUAAAGGUGGGAAGAUGGAGCUAUACAGGACCAAAAGUUUUUUAUACUGUUGAAAGUAAGUUGUUAUUAAUCUAGAUGUUAAUGAUAAUCCCCAGGUCAAUCACUAAUAAGUCAAAAAUAUAGAGUACAAAAAAUUCAAGAGAAUUAAAAUGACACACAAAUAAAUAUCUAUUUAACACAAAAUAAGGUAGUAAUGGAAGGAUCAAGAUCUGAAACAUAAAAAAUAACAAAAUGUUUGAUGUAAAUUAUAGUUUAUCAGUAAUUACAUUAAAUGUAAAUGUAUUAAACUCAUCAAUUAAAAGGUAGAAGUUCUUUUUUUAAAGGUAGAAGUUCUUAAAUUAUUAAUUAUUAAAUUAAAAGACAGAAUGGAUAAAAAAUCUAAUUAUGUAGUGUAUACAAGAGACAUAUUUUAGAUUCAACUACACAAAUAGGUAGAAUGUAAAAAGAUAAAAUAUCUACCAUAUAAAUAAUAACCAAAAAAGUUAGGAUGCAUAUAGCAAUAUUACACAAAAUAGACUUUAAGACACAAACUGUUACCAGAGACAAGGAAGGACAUUUUAUAAUGAGAAAAGGUCAAUCCAUCAAGAAGAUGUAACUAUUACAUAUAUAUGCACGUUACAACAAAGCCCAAAAUACUUACCAUAUAGUGAAUGGAUUACAGGGGAAAAUAGACAAUUAAACAAUAACAGUUGAUUUUGAUCUCAACUUUCAAUAAUGGAUAGAAAAACCAAACAGAGUAUCAAAAAAGGAGUAGAAAACUUGGACAAUAUUCUAACAAAUAGAUUUAACAGAUAUAUACAGAACACUCGUCCAAUAGCAGUAUAAUAUUUA